AUAGGGCUGGUUAGUUUUACGUGUAUAGGGCUGGUUAGUUUUACGUGUAUAGGGCUGGUAAUGGGCCAUUCCCAUCUGUACCGGGUCGGCCCGGGCCGGGUAGCCACAGUCGGCCCCAGCCUGACCCGGUUGAUUCCACACAUCCUUGUCUUAAGCCCAUGUGGGCUGAUUCUACCCACCAAUCAGAGGCUUGCUCUAAUGGAAGGUGUGAAUGAAUUUGCUGUCAGCAGUGGGUGUGUUGGCCCUGGUCGGCCUGAAGCAGACCCCCUCGAGAAGAGGGCUGAGAAUGAGCCUUGGUUGGCCCGGAAAAAUACCAGGCCACCCAGAUAUGUAAACAACCUACGCUACCCGGCCCGGGCCGACCCGGUACAGAUGGGAAUGGCCCAAAAUACACAGGCUCACAGCAGCAUUGUGGCAUCAUAUGGUACCAGCUAGCAUCAUAGCUCUUAGAUUUAAAUUUAAAUGUAGUGCAGAGUUUUUACCUUAAGAGGGCGCUACACUGACCGUUGUGGAAGAAUAUUCAAAUUUUUGCUAAGAGGCACUAAAGUGCCAAAUUGUUGACUCUGCGGGUCUACAGCACGACACUAAUUUAUGUAGUUUAUCAGCAAAAAGGCUGAUUUGGGAGUGACUUGCUCAUUAAGAGUGGGGUGUUUUUAUUUAUGUACAAGAUUAGGUCAAAUAAUUGGUACCUUCCAUUAUAAUGAUUGGGAUUCCUCUAGUCUUUGUUGCUUUGUCCUCCUCAGCUUUUUCCCUAAUUAACCCAACUUCCUCCUGUGUCUCCUCUUAUCCUUUCUUUUGUAUUUGGUUUAGUUUCAUCUACAACUUAUUUAUUCACCUAUACUGUAUUAUUUAUGACAAAACAAGACUUUGGAAUGGUGUUCUAUCACAGUUCUUUUGUUUGAUUUUAGCUAAACGAAUUGUUUCCAUAAAGGUGCAAUAUGUAAGAAUGAAGAGCAUGACAUCCUGUGGCCUAUUAUGGGUACUGCAGUUAAUUAUUCUAAUAAAGUUAAUAUCUCACUCCCAUCCUGUGAGUGUCAUGGUUGUUGCUAGUUAUGGCUGUGCCAAAAGAUUUUAGAAAUGUAAGUGGAUAAGUAAACAAAGACAUUGUCAUAUCUGGCAUUAGCACUCUUGGACAUAUUUUGGUAUUAUGAUAUAAGUUACCAUUAGAGUGAGAGUGGUUGUUUGCAGUCUUGCUGUUAGCUUGCUGCUAUAAUUUUGAACAACGCAUUGAAUAAGUAGCUUGAGAUAUAUUUACAGCCGACAGUUUACUCCUAAUUCACUGUUAGCAUUGAUAGCUCAACGUUGGCCUCUAGUCUUCUUUACCCAAUAUUAGAGUAAAACAAAAAUAUGCUGUGGCUUCUUACAAGAAAUAACUCCUGUUUGACUCCCGUUACUGCCCUAGGAUCUUUACGAAAUGCUGCUGCUGUCGAAUUACAAAUCCUGACGCUGCAGCGUUAGCUUGGCGCAGACUUGCUAACCUUACAGGCUCACUGAUCGUAAACGGUAUAACUACAUUUUCCUUUAGUCCUUUUUGGAAAGUAGAAUAACUAACAACCCCCAGCCAACUGAAAAUUAAAUCUUUUUCAAUAUUAAACUUCCUUCCAACAUGACUGCAACAUUCCACUGCUUUGUGAUUAUUUCUCUUUAGUAUUCUUACAUGUUGCUCUUUUAAGUGUAUAGAAUUAGCCUGGCUGGAGGCAUUUAUGGACUGAAGAACAUUAUACUCAAUAAAAAAUGAGCAAAAAGUGUUCAUGAAACAGACAAAUGUAUGCAUGAGUAACAAAAAAAGGAAAACCUCAUUCUUAAGACCUAAAAGAAAAUAGUAAGUGCAAAAACCACAUGUGGCUUUUGUUUUGACUUACUUGUCAUUUCUUUCAGAUCCUGUUGAAUGCUAGAAGUUUAUUAUUUAACCAGUUCCUGUUUUUUAUUAGUUAAACCUUAUAAAUUCUGCGUCUCUUAUUUAGAAUAUUUUGGAUCUUUUUAGAUUCAGCAAAGACACUGGAUCACGUACUCAUGGUUACACCAUAUUAUAAAUGUAGAUGAAUUCCUCACACUUAGUUUAAAAGUCUAAAGCUGUUUGUGUACUUAACCAAAAGUGGUUCUCACCAGAAAAAAAACAUAUGCGUGCAUUUAAAUCCUCAGCUUCUGCUGUUUUUUCUUGUUCUCAGUUAGAAUGCACUUUGUAUCUAUGACAAGCGCAUCAUUUCAGAUGAAAAAUUUAUAGAUUAUGGGGCGCCACAUCUUGAAACUUUCAUGCCAGUGCCUUCAUGCACAAUGAAGCAAAUUCAAAGAGAUUUCUACCCACUUUUGGCUUUCGUUUGUGCACAUCAAGCUCCAACAACGUCACUAUGCCUGAAUUCCCUCUGAGAAAUAAUUUCAAUUCUGGAUGAAUGGAUUUGUCAAAACGUAUAGGUCCACCACAUAAACGAGACAAGAACCUUUACAGAGAAAUCAUUUUUAACUUGCCAUUUUUUAAAUAUGAUCACUCUGGGUUUAACAUACCGGCUAAACGUGACAAUAGUCUUCUUCCCCUAUUUCCUGCAUUAGCAUUUGAUAGAAAAUAGACAGGGAAACACUGGUCAGAAAAAGCCACACAGAUCGAUCACACCAUAAAAUUAGCAUUCGUAGACCAUCUUAAGCUAACCGUUAGCAUUAGCAACUAUUUGUGGAGAAAAAAUGAUCAACAGUGGCGGUUCUACAUGGAAUUACUCCCCGGGCGAGGAACCCUUUGUGCGCCCCCCCC
Molecule: long non-coding RNA, 2743 nt
Organism: Nothobranchius furzeri (turquoise killifish)
Lineage: Eukaryota; Metazoa; Chordata; Actinopteri; Cyprinodontiformes; Nothobranchiidae
Source: Ensembl